AUGCAGCAGGGUACAGUGGCAACAGGGAAUGAGAUGGAAGCAAUAAAUCUGCUGAAUUCUACUGAACUCGUGCGUUCCCUGGAUGAGGAGAUAAUAAUAGAAGGAAAUGGUUGCGAGUUAGUUGUAACCCCUAAAAAGCUUCCUGGGACAGAAUUCCAACCUGCCACAUGUGAUGGUGCUGCAUGUGUUGUCAUGCUAAUGGAGAUUUUCUCGGCUGUAAAUUAUGUCAACACGCAAUACAAGCAAGAUGCUGAAUCACGGCAUGCUUUAAAACUUGUGGAUUCCACGAUUUUCUACAGGACUACUGCAGAAGAUGAAGUGGAAGCUGUAUUGGGUGUUUUUCAUGGUUGUGAAGGUGAGACUGAGAUGCUUCAGAUUCAGAACAAGCCGCAUGACCCCAUGAUCUUUAAGCGAGGUCCUACAGUUGAAGAACUCGAGCGGUAUAACUGGACAUCGACAGGAGAUUAUAUCAAAGGGUAUUUCAAAGGAUGUGUUGCCAAUGAUGAAAUAAAGCAUUUGGUUGAGUUUCUGAAAGGCGCAUCUGCAAAUUAUGAUGACUUGCAUUGGGAGCCAGGGCUAUGGGAGGCAGAUAUCAAGAUGCAGUUCAUCAGAGAAAUCUGGUGGCAUGUCGAACAACAGCGGGGUUCAGUGAAACUGAUAGAAUUGAGGGAAACAGAGAAGGGCAAGGUGUUGAACAGCAUACGACGUCCCCUCGGGAUCAUUGAAUGCAUUAGGAAGCUUGCAGAGCCAGAGAAAGCGGCUCGGAUUGUCGAGGCCACACUGCUAGACUCAGUUCGACAUUUGAGGGACAGUGUUGUUGCACACCAUGGUGGUAGCAUCAAUGCCUACCAGGGAGCAAAGGAGGAUGUGCGUGACAAAGUGAACCUUGAAAGACUGAUCCAGAAGGCAAAAGGUGACUAUAUGAUAAAGCUUGUUAGAGAAAUCAGGCCAUUGAAGUGGAUAACCGAGUCUCCGGUGUUGAGAGAUCAAAACAAUUACAUGGAGUGUUUCUACGAGAUGAAGCAAGCAGAAGAGAAAAAACAGAAACAACAAGAGCAGGGGAAGAAACACAAAGGAAAACCACGCUAA
This 1089-nucleotide ribosomal RNA is filed under the name Triticum aestivum (bread wheat). Its description in RNAcentral is "partial small subunit ribosomal RNA". Lineage: Eukaryota; Viridiplantae; Streptophyta; Magnoliopsida; Poales; Poaceae. The record is from RNAcentral.